RNAcentral lists this ribosomal RNA (118 nucleotides) under Pteropus alecto (black flying fox). Lineage: Eukaryota; Metazoa; Chordata; Mammalia; Chiroptera; Pteropodidae. The record is from RNAcentral.
GUUUACAGCCAUACUACCCUGAACACGCCCAAUCCUUCUGAUCUCAGAAGCUAAGCAAGGUCGGGCCUGGUUAGUACUUGGAUGGGAGACCACCUAGGAAGACCAGGUGCUGUAGGCA